CAGUCGCCACGGUAAUACGAAGGGUGCAAGCGUUAAUCGGAACUACUGGGCGUAAAGCGUGCGUAGGCGGUGAGUUAAGUCUGCUGUGAAAUCCCCGGGCUCAACCUGGGAAUGGCAGUGGAUACUGGCUCGCUAGAGUGUGUCAGAGGAUGGUGGAAUUCCCGGUGUAGCGGUGAAAUGCGUAGAGAUCGGGAGGAACAUCAGUGGCGAAGGCGGCCAUCUGGGACAACACUGACGCUGAGGCACGAAAGCGUGGGGAGCAAACAGGAUUAGAUACCCGCGUAGUCCCUGUCUCUUAUAA
Molecule: ribosomal RNA, 301 nt
Filed under: uncultured bacterium
Lineage: Bacteria
Description: partial 16S ribosomal RNA
Rfam family: Bacterial small subunit ribosomal RNA
Source: RNAcentral